This 378-nucleotide ribosomal RNA is filed under the name Triticum aestivum (bread wheat). Its description in RNAcentral is "partial small subunit ribosomal RNA". The record is from RNAcentral. Lineage: Eukaryota; Viridiplantae; Streptophyta; Magnoliopsida; Poales; Poaceae.
AUGUGGACGGAUGGCGAGGUGGGAAUUGCUGUUUCUAGGUUCCCAUUGAUGCUGUCGAGGUCCAAAGAAUCACUGCAGCGUAGGUCUGAGUUCCUCAUCUCUGAGGUGGGCUUGGAACCGGCGUUCGUUGCUCAUCGACCCGUAAUGCUCGGUCACAGUCUAGAGGGCCGGCUCAGGCCCCGGUACUAUGUUGUGAAGUUUCUCAAGGAAAAUGGAUUGCUCAAGCGUGACCCAAACUACAGUACCGUUUUCAAGAUGAGUGAGAAGGUAUUCAGGAAGAAGUUCAUAUUCCCUCACAAGGAGGCUGCGCUGCACCUCGCAGAAGACUACGAUGCCGCUUGCAAGGGGGAAGUGCCGACUAAUUUCAGAUUCACAUAA